This 74-nucleotide transfer RNA is filed under the name Roseibium sp. RKSG952. Its description in RNAcentral is "tRNA-Gly". It matches the Rfam family "tRNA". Rfam says of the family: Transfer RNA (tRNA) molecules are approximately 80 nucleotides in length. Their secondary structure includes four short double-helical elements and three loops (D, anti-codon, and T loops). Lineage: Bacteria; Pseudomonadati; Pseudomonadota; Alphaproteobacteria; Hyphomicrobiales; Stappiaceae. The record is from RNAcentral.
GCGGGUGUAGCUCAAUGGUAGAGCCGCUGCCUUCCAAGCAGAAGACGAGGGUUCGAUUCCCUCUAUCCGCUCCA